Molecule: ribosomal RNA, 444 nt
Filed under: uncultured bacterium
Lineage: Bacteria
Description: bacterial SSU rRNA
Rfam family: Bacterial small subunit ribosomal RNA
Source: RNAcentral
AACGAACGCUGGCGGCAGGCCUAACACAUGCAAGUCGAACGAGAAGCCACCUUCGGGUGGUGGACAGUGGCAGACGGGUGAGUAACGCGUGGGAACGUGCCUUUCGGUUCGGAAUAACCCAGGGAAACUUGGGCUAAUACCGGAUACGCCCUUCGGGGGAAAGAUUCAUUGCCGAAAGAUCGGCCCGCGUCGGAUUAGCUAGUUGGUGGGGUAAUGGCUCACCAAGGCGACGAUCCGUAGCUGGUCUGAGAGGAUGACCAGCCACACUGGGACUGAGACACGGCCCAGACUCCUACGGGAGGCAGCAGUGGGGAAUAUUGGACAAUGGGCGAAAGCCUGAUCCAGCCAUGCCGCGUGGGUGAAGAAGGCCUUAGGGUUGUAAACCCCUUUCAGCGGGGAAGAUAAUGACGGUACCCGCAGAAGAAGUCCCGGCUAACUCCGUGC